RNAcentral lists this transfer RNA (73 nucleotides) under Heniochus chrysostomus (threeband pennantfish). RNAcentral describes it as "tRNA-Asn". It matches the Rfam family "tRNA". Rfam says of the family: Transfer RNA (tRNA) molecules are approximately 80 nucleotides in length. Their secondary structure includes four short double-helical elements and three loops (D, anti-codon, and T loops). Further hydrogen bonds mediate the characteristic L-shaped molecular structure. tRNAs have two regions of fundamental functional importance: the anti-codon, which is responsible for specific mRNA codon recognition, and the 3' end, to which the tRNAs corresponding amino acid is attached (by aminoacyl-tRNA synthetases). tRNAs cope with the degeneracy of the genetic code in two manners: having more than one tRNA (with a specific anti-codon) for a particular amino acid; and 'wobble' base-pairing, i.e. permitting non-standard base-pairing at the 3rd anti-codon position. The record is from RNAcentral. Lineage: Eukaryota; Metazoa; Chordata; Actinopteri; Chaetodontiformes; Chaetodontidae.
UGGACGGAUGCUCGUUGGUUUGAGCGUUUAGCUGUUAACUAGAAGUUUGUAGGAUCGAGGCCUACUCGUCCAG